Molecule: ribosomal RNA, 253 nt
Filed under: uncultured bacterium
Lineage: Bacteria
Description: partial 16S ribosomal RNA
Rfam family: Bacterial small subunit ribosomal RNA
Source: RNAcentral
GACGAACCGAGCGAACGUUGUUCGGAAUCACUGGGCUUAAAGGGCGCGUAGGCGGGUGCUCAAGUCCGGGGUGAAAUCCUCCAGCUCAACUGGAGAACUGCCUCGGAUACUGGGUGCCUCGAGGGUGGUAGGGGUAUGCGGAACUAUCGGUGGAGCGGUGAGAUGCGUUGAUAUCGAUAGGAACUCCGGUGGCGAAGGCGGCAUACUGGACCACAUCUGACGCUGAGGCGCGAAAGCCAGGGGAGCAAACGGG